UUUUUCUUCCCUCCUCCGACCGCCUUGCAAGAGCCGGGACGGUGUCUGCACGACCUGGCCGGGCGCGAUCCCGCAGCGCCCACGGGGUGAUGCAGUGCCCGCUCCCGGAUCCGACCGGCCGGAGGCUGCUGUGAGACAAUGACCGAGGAAAGAGAGAAUUUGCACAAGAGCGGGAGCCGAGGAUAAGCGCCUCUGGUCCAGUGAGACAUUUGAAAAAACCAACGGCACUGGGCCUUUUAUGAUCUUCAGCAAACCGUAGCUUUCUGAACAAGAAAAAAGAACUCAAGAACUUUGAGUCAUGAUUAAAUAUUUUCUAAAUAGAGAAAAGGACUGGAAGAAAUCCCCUCUGGGUGGUCGCCUUGUCCCCAGUCUCAGGCUGUUAACUGUGCCCCAUGCCUUGUGCUUCGGCACUGAAAGGUCAUCCGACCACAUGCUGUGGCAGAAUGGUGUCAGGACACACGGAUCAAACACAGCCCAAGUCCCAACACGAGAGACAUCUGCGCUGAUGAAGACGGACAGACUCGUGCCUCAAAUGUGGCAGAGUGAGGUGCUACUCUUCAUUGGAAAUGAUCAAUAAUAAGAUGCUUUCUGAAA
Molecule: long non-coding RNA, 594 nt
Organism: Jaculus jaculus (lesser Egyptian jerboa)
Lineage: Eukaryota; Metazoa; Chordata; Mammalia; Rodentia; Dipodidae
Exons: 2
Source: RefSeq, a predicted model, not a curated record